Molecule: ribosomal RNA, 431 nt
Filed under: uncultured bacterium
Lineage: Bacteria
Description: bacterial SSU rRNA
Rfam family: Bacterial small subunit ribosomal RNA
Source: RNAcentral
UCGAGAAUCUUUUGCAAUGCUCGAAAGAGUGACAAUGCGACGCCGCGUGUGCGAUGAAGGUCUUCGGAUUGUAAAGCACUGUCAGCCGGGAGGAAGGUCUUCCUUUCUAAUAAAGAGGAAGGCUUGACAGUACCGGCAGAGGAAGCCACGGCUAACUCCGUGCCAGCAGCCGCGGUAAUACGGAGGUGGCAGGCGUUACUCGGAUUGAUUGGGUGUAAAGGGCGUGUAGGUGGUGAAUUAAGUCGGGUGUGAAAUCCCUUGGCUCAACCAAGGAACUGCACCCGAUACUGGUUUGCUUGAGCGACAGAGAGGUAAAUGGAAUUCCCGGUGUAACAGUGAAAUGUGUAGAUAUCGGGAGGAACACCAGUGGCGAAGGCGAUUUACUGGAUGUCUGCUGACACUGAAACGCGAGAGCUAGGGGAGCAAACAGG